RNAcentral lists this transfer RNA (85 nucleotides) under Felis catus (domestic cat). It matches the Rfam family "tRNA". Rfam says of the family: Transfer RNA (tRNA) molecules are approximately 80 nucleotides in length. Their secondary structure includes four short double-helical elements and three loops (D, anti-codon, and T loops). RNAcentral also lists the same sequence under 3 other names. The record is from Rfam by way of RNAcentral. Lineage: Eukaryota; Metazoa; Chordata; Mammalia; Carnivora; Felidae.
GCCAGGGUGGCUCAGUCAGUUAAGCCUCUGACUUCAGCUCAGGUCAUGAUUUUGCAGUCUGUGAGUUCGAGCCCCACAUCUGGCU